Molecule: ribosomal RNA, 468 nt
Filed under: uncultured bacterium
Lineage: Bacteria
Description: partial 16S ribosomal RNA
Rfam family: Bacterial small subunit ribosomal RNA
Source: RNAcentral
GACGAACGCUGGCGGCGUGCUUAACACAUGCAAGUCGAACGGAAAGGCCCUGCUUUUGUGGGGUGCUCGAGUGGCGAACGGGUGAGUAACACGUGAGUAACCUGCCCUUGACUUUGGGAUAACUUCAGGAAACUGGGGCUAAUACCGGAUAGGAGCUCCUGCUGCAUGGUGGGGGUUGGUAAGUUUCGGCGGUUGGGGUUGGACUCGCGGCUUAUCAGCUUGUUGGUGGAGUAGUGGCUUUCCAAGCGUUUGACGGGUAGCCGGCCUGAGAGGUGGACCAGCCACAUUGGGACUGAGAGAGGGCCCAGACUCCUACGUGAGGCAGCAGUGGGGAAUAUGGCACAAUGGGCGGAAGCCUGAUGCAGCGACGCCGCGUGCGGGAUGACGGGCUUCGGGUUGUAAACCGCUUUCGCCUGUGACGAAGCGUGAGUGACGGUAAUGGGUAAAGAAGCACCGGCUAACUACGUG